UAAGAUACAAAUACAUUUGAAAAUUUAAAAGAAUCUAUUCGAUGAAAAAAUAUACCGUAAACUUAUUAUGUUUUAAAAAUUGAUAGACAUAUAUAUUAUAAUAUAUACUAAUUUAGAAUUGAAAACAAAAUAUUUGUAUAAAAAUAAAUGAAAACAAAAAUCCGCGCGAUUGCGCGGGUCGAGAUCUAGUAGUUGGUUAAAACUGAAGAACAGUCCCACAGGCAAUAUCUUAAAAAUAAUAAUAGCUCUAGUUGUUGACUUACCACAAUAAUGGAACAUUGUAACGGAGAAACGGUAGAACAUUUGAAUUAUAUGUUUCUCAAGAUUUUUCUUUGUAGAGGUUUUUAACUUCUUCUUUUUAACCGUAAACUUAUCACAUUAUCAUAGCAAAUCAGAAAUUCUCUUGCAGAGUUCUUACAUAGAUAUUUACACACACUAUGAGUCUAUCAUAGCCAGUUUAUUAUUAACAUAUAUGUUUGCCUAUUAGCUUCCCCAUGAACAUUAUCUGAAGCAAAAAAAUUAGACAAAGGCUUCUAGAUAUCCUGAACAUAUGUUGCUGAGAUCGAUCAAUAUAAAAGUAUUAUGAAUAUGCAUUAUCACAAACUUACAUGUGUUUAAUAAUAUAUAAUGACUGAGAACCUACACCAUCUCAAUAAUGUAUAGCAACCACACCUUUCCGGGUUAAACGUUCCUAAAUCACUUUUGGUGGAGAAGAUGUAAUAUAUAUAUAUAUAUAUAUAUAUAUAUAUAUAUAUAUAUCUUAUGUGUUACAAAUCAAAGUACUAAACUUAAGUCAAGUCAUUCUAUGAGUGUAUAAAACCGGAUCUAUCGUAUAUCAAAACUAUUUCAUAUUCCUACAAAAGAAAGGAGCAUAUAUUCUCUUCUUGAGUUUCUAUUCAUCGGUCGGACCAGAAAGCGUGAGCGGCUAAGACCCUAUCAAGAAGCUCUUGAGGCACAGGUUCGCCUCUUCUUUGCCUUGCUGAUAUCUUUGGGGUAUGAACCAAUGUUUUCCAUUUGUCCUGUUUUAGGUUACACAUAUUAUUAAAGACGCUUAUUCUAUUUAAUUAUCUUAUUAGAGCAAAGAUGAUUGUUGUAAACAACUUUCUUUUCUUCAAGGGAUAUAUAUUCUGGGCUCCUUCGCUACUACAACCUCCAUCUUUUGUGGAACAAAUCUUUCUUUUUCCGUCCCGUCUUCAUAAAUCGAAAUAAACACUUAAGAUUAUAUAAAAAUAUUGCGGUACAAAUUAAUAUAGCUAGCGAGUGAGUUUUUUCUUACCGAUAGUUUUCUUCUUGUGUAAUUGGAGAGCUAGAAAUGGAAGGACCAAGAGCUAACCAGUCCUUACACAAUAAUAUUUGAGGAGGUUUCUCCUGACAAGGUUGUGGAUUAACCUCAACUUCCAUUGUCUCCAAAAGGUAAUUUACUACGAAAUCUUCCUCUUUUUCCUUUGUUUCAUAGGCCCUGUGGUCGCCUGCCACGUGGGCUAAAACUUCGAACAUGGAUCUAUGUUUUUUCAUCACUUUUUGCUACGUCCCUGGAAUUAAAAAGGCGCAAUCUAGUGAACCAAUUUUAUGUAACUUGUGGAAAAGAAAAAGAAAUGUUUUACAAAAAAAAUAAGAAGAAGAAAUGUUGUUGGAAUUCAUAUACGCACUCUGGGUAAUCUAUAAGCCCUAGGAACCACAUGAGUUUGGUACGCAUCGAAACGAAAGUCCAACAUGUUCCCGAUAGACACGUUACUACGGAUUGGUUACGUUAAGCCUGAUCCUACACAUAUUUUAUAGUCAUGUUUACAUAAAACAGAAAGUAGAACAAAAAACGUUGAUGAGGAAAAUCAAACAGAGGAAAACAAAUAUUGGAUCUAAUCAUAUUACGUGCAUAACCUUAUAAUAAGUCUUUUUUGUUUUUCUGAAUCGCUUUCCAUUGAUUUUAUAAUUAGGGUCUUGUCAUUAUAGUGUUUUCAAAUUAAAUACUGUGUUUUUCAAUAUGCAGUUAUUGGAAAAGUUGUGAAAAAGUUUAAUGUGUUUUGUCAUCAACUCAUCAUGAAUAUGUAUCUUUACAUCAAAAAAUAUAGAGUAUUUUUUUUUUCAUUUUUUUAAAUUGUAUUAGUUUACUUCCUCACACUUGCCCUUCAUUGUGACCAACAAAAAAGGAAACAUCAAGCAAAUACCCAUCUCAUUUUCGUCAAA
Long non-coding RNA from Brassica rapa (field mustard), 2184 nucleotides. RefSeq lists it as uncharacterized. The record is from RefSeq and is a predicted model, not a curated record. NCBI's taxonomy places the organism in Eukaryota, Viridiplantae, Streptophyta, Magnoliopsida, Brassicales, Brassicaceae.